GUUAUUUUGCUGUCGACUCCUCAUGCCUCAUUAGUCAUGUUUGACACCUGCACCUAAUACCUUUUCCCUGACAAUGCAGGACAGCUUCUGGCGAGAACAGAUAUCUUGCAGAAGAGCCUCGACGGAAACCUCAGACUGUGUGGCAAAGGCGUGAUACGGGGUCGGGGUCGGCGAGGCUUCCCUCGCCCCAUUCAGGAAACUCUCCUCAUUAACAUUCUCCAAACUUGGCUCCCUUCAAAGACUGUGCACAGAGCUACGUGGAGCUGGGAGAGCGAGUGCCAACAGAAAGGAAAUUAAAAUAGUCUAUAAAGCUUUAAUAUUUAAUUUACGACAAAUCUACGUACCCAACCUCUGUGCGGCAACACGCAAAGCGGCAGAUGAGAAACGUCUAAACACAGGGAAAAGCAUUAUAGAGAUUUUUAUAACGGAGCUUAAAAUUCAUGACUUAUCAAAUUAAUGAAAACCUCAGAUCUGAGAAUUCAAAAUACAUUUUCUUUUCAUUAUAAACUCAUUGCCGGCUAGUCCAACUAACAAGCAGUCUCGAUGCUUUCACAGAGGGGAGGAGACGGUCUGUGUAAGACAAAAAACCAAACACAAGAAGUGUGUUCUUAAAAAGUAGUGUCUCGGUGGUAGUGAAAAUGCUCUCUGCAUUUGGGCUGGUUUUCAAACUGUCUGGUUCCCACACCUGGAUCCUUACAAACACACAGACACGAGCUGGACCUCACUAACUAGUAAACCAGUUCUGGACCUGGAAUGCAGACACCUCCCUGCACUGUUACUAUCUGGAGACAGCUAACUAACUGAUAAACCAGUUCUGGAACUGGAAUGCAGACGCCUCCCUGCACUGUUACUAUGUGGUGACAGUUAACUAACUAGUAAGCCAGUUCUGGACCUGGAAUGCAGACACAUCCCUGCACUGUUACUAUGUGGAGACAGUUAACUAACUGAUAAACCAUUUCUGGACCUGGAAUGCAUACGCCUCCCUGCACUGUUACUAUGUGGUGACAGUUAACUAACUAGUAAUCCAGUGCUGGACCUGGAAUGCAGACACCUCCCUGCACUGUUACUAUGUGGUGACAGUUAACUAACUAGAAAACCAGUUCUGGACCUGGAAUGCAGACACCUCCCUGCACUGUUACUAUCUGGAGACAGUUAACUAACUGAUAAACCAGUUCUGGACCUGGAAUGCAGACGCCUCCCUGCACUGUUACUAUCUGCACCGAUACUAUGGUCUGUUCCGACACAAACAGAUCCACAAAUGGCUGGCAUAGUUGGCUUAACAUGGGACAGUGUAUUGGACCAGAGUCAAGUGUCGCCUUUGGGGACCAAGGUUCCUUCUCUUCCCAAAACGCGUUGAACGGUUUAGUCAGGAUCCACAGUAAAAUAAUGGACAGGCCGCCAGUCUACAGAAGGGAGGCUCCCCGCUCUUCCCCGGGCUCUCCUGCUUCCCGCCCCUCUCCCCGGGGAGCAUUUAGAGAAAUUCGAGGGGCCCCGUUUCAGGUCUCAGGGUGAGGCUGAGAGCUACUAGCGUUUAACUGCAGAGCAGUGCUGCUAAGUGUCUUGUGACAUGUGGGGAGGGCCCCGCCCCCGCCCCCCGCCCAUGCCAAGGACACCCCCGCUGACAAAGGAUGGACAGAGUAUCUGGAGGAAAGGUCGCAUCUUCCUUGGGUGUUCCCUGAAUGCCUUGCUCCCAAAACACAUCCACUUCAGAACAAGCCCAGGCGACCUUGAGAGAGUCCUAUCAGCGCUUUGCCCGAACAGCCCCUCCCAAGUUCGUAAGAGGUUAAUGAACCCUGGGUGGCCCGAGGGGAGAGGAGCCCUUCCUACCACCUGUCACCUGACUCGGGGGCUCCUAUGAAUGGGGCUCUUUGAGAGUCAUGACCUCCCCCGGGAACAGCUUCCAUCACUACAUUUCUGCAGGAGACACGAGACAUUCUUGAGGGCCUGAGUUCUACAGGCACCCUGGGAGCUGUGGGCCAAAGUCCUUCCAACAGAAGGGGACUCUUGCUCCCAUCUGCUCACCUCCCUCGGGACUCUACUCACAGGCUGAGUUCAUUCACUGAUUUCAAACAGAUGUGGUCCCUCUCCUAUUUCAGCAGGACAGAAACAGGGCACCUGACGACCUUGACCGAUAAUACCUUCCACGUGCUGCUGACGGCCUGCUCUGACACAGGAGCUGUAUCCUCGCCCAGCAUCUAGCACCAUCACCAUUAAUACGGAGCUGAGUGAAAAACAGGGGGGGCGAAGGGUGGGUGGGGGGACUGCUCGCGAGCUGCUGAUGAGAAGCACCUGCUGCUGGAGGGCCAAGGGCCCUGCCACGGUGCCAUGUGUGUGAGGUGACAUUCUGACCAGUGGCCGGCUCUGGAACAGAUGCCUCGUUUAGGGACAGGCUGCCUAGCGGUCGGCGUCUGGCAGAUGACGACAGAAUGAGGAGGAUGCUCCCGAGAGGGUGGUGAGAGGGGAAGGUCCCUCCGGGGGACUUCUGUGGUUUUGCCACUUGUGAGUUGGGCUCUGCAAUCUGAUCACGGGCUAAAUAAACAUGGCAUCUCUCGUCCAAAGGGAUUCUUGGGGGAAUUUCUUUUUCUCUGGGUUCUAACUACAGAUUUGAGGCUCUAAUAGGAUCUGACAGGCCAGCCUGUAGACGCGAAGGAAAUGGACCAUCCAUUUAACCCCCCUGUGUCCAUACGAAAACUCAUAAUUCUAGAACAUUCUUCUUGUCUCUGAUGCCAGCGAGUAACCCUGGUAACAACCGUGGUGGUCUGCACGUGUUGAUCAUGUGCCCCGCCCCCGCAAAGGGGCAACAGACAGAAAAACAAACCAAUCACUCAACUCUGCCAGUAUGCUUUUACUUAUUUGUAUACUGUAGGCAUACACCACUAUAUUCAUGUAUUUCUAAAACAUAUACAGAGUGAAUAAACCGGAAGAUAAAAAUAAGUAAAAAAAAGGCAUUCUAGAUUUUUCUCCUCACUUCCCAAAUUAUUUUCGAUCGCACACACUUCGGAAAGCAUCAUUACCGUCUAUUAUCUGCACCCGGCGAAGGGGCAAGAGACUAAGCAUUGCCUGAGUGUUUGAACUUACUGGACAAAUCGGAAGAAAUAAAAAGGCCCGGGAGAAGCACUUAAAAAGGGUUCACGUCUUCCAAGAGUCCCCUUCGGAGCCCGUGGAGUGGUGGGUGAAGAGGAACCGUUCUGGCUUGAAGAGAGCCACAUGUGUUAUUUCCUCUGUUUCUCGCCAUUUCGAGAGAUGUCAGAUGUGGCUGUGAUUUGUAUGCUUUUCUCUCCGUUCCACAUUCUCCAUGUGUUGCUCAUUUUUGCCAUUUGCUUUGGGUUUCAUGCCAUUCUGUCGCAUUUCCCCUGCAUUCCUCUUGCUAGGCGUUUACUCCCACCUCAAGCUGCUGGUUCCUUUCAGAGCAUUUUGUUACAUUAUCCAGACAGAGAAAGUGAGACACUCUUCAAAGCCCAGGGCACAGAGAGGCACCAGAGAACACAUCUUCCAGGCUGAGAUGCGCGUAAGGAGUGAGAGGUGAGUGGGAUUAUUUUUUUUUUUUUUAAGCCCACCCCUAUCCCUGCCAACACGGAGGCUUGGGGAGCAUAUGAGGAGCUGCAGAGGAAGAAAACCUAUGGAUGCUGCGAGGAGGAAUGUGCCAGGACUCCAGACCUCGGGCCAUCUUUAAAACACAGACUCUCUGUCUGCUUUUUGCAGGAGGCUGUGUCUUUGGCUGUCGCCCUCCAUGCUAAUCAGGAAGGAUCAGUACGACAAGGAGCACCCAGGAAGGUUCAGAAAGGGCCCCGCAUUCAGCUCUCUGAGGAACCCAGCACACAGCUGGAGUCCUCCGCAGCACGCCUCGCUGACCCCACCCUGAAAUCGUUCCUGAAAUGACCCUUCUGCCACCAUCACUGAUUUUUUUUUGGUCCUUUUGCCAUUUUCUUGAGCCACUCCUGCGGCAUAUGGAGGUUCCCAGGUUAGGGGUCAAAUCGGAGUGGUAGCCACCAACCUACGCCACAGCCACAGCAACGCAGGAUCCAAGCUGCAUCUGCAACCUACACCACAGCUCACGGCAAUGCCAGAUCCUUAACCCAUGGAGCAAGGCCAGGGAUCAAACCCGCCACCUCGUGGUUCCUAGUCAGAUUCGUUAGCCACUGAGCCACGACGGGAACUCCCACCAUCACUGAUCUUGACCGUAACCUCCCACUUACAUCCAAUCUAGGGGUCUGCAGGCUCACUCUCCUCCACGUGGACGGCGCUACAGCUCGGCUUGACCCUCCCAAGUUAGCCACCUGGUAUCUCCUUCUUCACCUGCCUGACCUCCGAAGGCUUCCCACCCCUGAGAGCCUGAUUCUCUACGUUUCUUUCCCCUGCCCUAACGUAACUAAAGAAGACCAAGGCAUUCCCAUCACUGGCUGUGCCUAAAGUGGGUUCUCUCAUGGGGGUGGGAUAUGGAGCCUUUGACUGUCAAGGGGGCCUCGGAACCUCUGGAGCAGCGGGCCACGGAAAAGGCGCUUUCUCAGUGAGCACGGCAGCCCCUCUGUAGCCUAACCUAAGCUGCUGUGCAAUCUCCUUGCCGGCCUCCUCCUCGUCCAGCCUUCUUCCCACCUGUUCCCCGUCUCCAGCGGAGGAGGACUGCACGCUGUGCUCAGAGAGGCCUUUUAACCCCCGUCCCUUUGCACAUGCUGCGCCCUUGGUGUGGAGUGCCCCUAACCACUCCCACACCUUGCUGGGCUCUCUCAAGCGUUGCCUCUCGCCUGUGAAGGAAAAGCACUUCUCCCUGCUCCUUUCCUCCUGCACAACCGGAUCCUCCCCUGGGGUCUCUCGGUCUGGUGUCUGUCCUGACACACUCAUCCCAGCACACAAGAGCUGUUCAUGCACCCGCCCUGAGCCUGCGUGUCCAGAGAACAGGGACUCAGCUCACCCAUAUCUGUCAAGGUGGCAGCCAGCUCGGUGCCUGGCAAGACUCCAGAUGACAGAACUGAACUGUAAGGGAGCUGCUGCUGGAAGCCGAGCUGCCCUCCAAGCCCUCCUCCUCCGCACCCCGAGCCUUGGGGCGGCCUCUCACCUCCUCACCGCCCCUGGCCUUCUCCCCGGCCAGCUCCUGCCGGGGCUCUGGGACGGUGGCAGCAGUGAUUUACAACUGCAUUUAGCUGAAUCUAAUCAGAAGUGUGAAUACUCCCCUCCUAUCUGGCAUACAUCAUCGGAGCUCUAAUUAUUCACACAUUUUGGCAAGCGUUCUGGUGUUCCCCUACCAAGCUCCUAAUCCCAGCAGAUCAGUUAAAAUAAAUGAAAGAGAGAAUCAAAAGGCACUUUAAAAAUUCAACUGUUCUCCAAAUGAGUUUGAACAGACUCCAGAUAACUAGUGGUUGCAGCUGACUGGCAUUUAAAAUAUAAGAACCCUUCUGCCCGCCCCUGCCCCAAGUCCCUUGCUUUACCGAUUCAUCUGAUAGGAACGCGAUUCUCUCCUAUUUAAGAGAAACACUUGCGAUCAGGGCCCAAACGUGUUUUCAUUGAUCUGCACUAAACACCAAGAAAAUCAAGUCACCACCCCAAGAGCCAAUGGAGGCCAGAGCAAUUCUGCUUUUUCCACCC
This 5580-nucleotide long non-coding RNA is filed under the name Sus scrofa (pig). Its description in RNAcentral is "lncRNA (ENSSSCG00055024288.1)". Lineage: Eukaryota; Metazoa; Chordata; Mammalia; Artiodactyla; Suidae. The record is from RNAcentral.